AACGAACGCUGGCGGCAUGCCUAACACAUGCAAGUCGAACGAAGCCUUCGGGCUUAGUGGCGCACGGGUGCGUAACGCGUGGGAAUCUGCCCUUUGCCUCGGAAUAACAGUUAGAAAUGACUGCUAAUACCGGAUGAAGUCUUCGGACCAAAGAUUUAUCGGCAAGGGAUGAGCCCGCGUAGGAUUAGGUAGUUGGUGGGGUAAAGGCCUACCAAGCCGACGAUCCUUAGCUGGUCUGAGAGGAUGAUCAGCCACACUGGGACUGAGACACGGCCCAGACUCCUACGGGAGGCAGCAGUGGGGAAUAUUGGACAAUGGACGCAAGUCUGAUCCAGCAAUGCCGCGUGAGUGAUGAAGGCCUUAGGGUUGUAAAGCUCUUUUACCAGGGAUGAUAAUGACAGUACCUGGAGAAUAAGCUCCGGCUAACUCCGUG
This 433-nucleotide ribosomal RNA is filed under the name uncultured bacterium. Its description in RNAcentral is "partial 16S ribosomal RNA". It matches the Rfam family "Bacterial small subunit ribosomal RNA", at positions 29 to 507 of the family's 1533-position model. The record is from RNAcentral.